AGAGUUUGAUCCUGGCUCAGAGUUAACGCUGGCGGCGUGCCUAACACAUGCAAGUCGAGCGAAUUUUUACAGAGUAUCGUAAAAGUUAGCGGCAGACGGGUGAGUAACACAUGGGAAACCUUCCUCAAAAUGGGGAACAUCUCCGAGAAAUCGGAGCUAAUACCGCAUAAGACCACAGUUUGGCAUCAAACAGGGGUAAAAGCAGUAAUGCGUUUUGAGAUGGUCCUGUGUCCUAUCAGCUAGUUGGUGGGGUAACGGCCUACCAAGGCUAUGACGGGUAUCCGGCCUGAAAGGGUGAACGGACACACUGGAACUGAGACACGGUCCAGACUCCUACGGGAGGCAGCAGUGGGGAAUUUUGGACAAUGGGCGAAAGCCUGAUCCAGCGACGCCGCGUGGAGGAUGAAGGCCUUCGGGUUGUAAACUCCUUUUGGAGGGGAAGAAUAAAUUGACGGUACCCUCAGAAAAAGCCACGGCUAACUACGUGCCAGCAGCCGCGGUAAUACGUAGGUGGCGAGCGUUACUCGGAAUUACUAGGCGUAAAGCGUAUGUAGGUGGUUAGAUAAGUCUAUGGUGAAAUUUCCUGGCUCAACUGGGAAGGGACAUAGAUACUAUCUGGCUUGAGUGUGGGAGGGGGAGACGGAAUUCCUGGUGUAGCGGUGAAAUGCGUAGAUAUCAGGAGGAACACCGAUGGCGAAAGCAGUCUCCUGGCCCAAUACUGACACUGAGGUACGAAAGCUAGGGUAGCAAACAGGAUUAGAUACCCUGGUAGUCCUAGCUGUAAACGAUGUUCACUAGAUGUGGGAGGUAUCGACCCCUUCCGCGUCGACGCUAACGCAUUAAGUGAACCGCCUGGGGAGUACGGCCGCAAGGUUGAAACUCAAAUGAAUUGACGG
This 896-nucleotide ribosomal RNA is filed under the name uncultured Endomicrobiia bacterium. Its description in RNAcentral is "bacterial SSU rRNA". It matches the Rfam family "Bacterial small subunit ribosomal RNA", at positions 8 to 916 of the family's 1533-position model. The record is from RNAcentral. Lineage: Bacteria; Pseudomonadati; Elusimicrobiota; Endomicrobiia.